This 253-nucleotide ribosomal RNA is filed under the name uncultured bacterium. RNAcentral describes it as "partial 16S ribosomal RNA". It matches the Rfam family "Bacterial small subunit ribosomal RNA", at positions 524 to 776 of the family's 1533-position model. The record is from RNAcentral.
UACGGAGGAUCCAAGCGUUAUCCGGAUUUAUUGGGUUUAAAGGGUGCGUAGGCGGACCCUUAAGUCAGUGGUGAAAGUUUGCAGCUCAACUGUAAAAUUGCCAUUGAAACUGAGGGUCUUGAGUGUAAAUAAGGUAGGCGGAAUGUGUUGUGUAGCGGUGAAAUGCUUAGAUAUAACACAGAACACCAAUUGCGAAGGCAGCUUACUGGGAUACAACUGACGCUGAGGCACGAAAGCGUGGGGAUCAAACAGG